RNAcentral lists this small RNA (277 nucleotides) under Pongo abelii (Sumatran orangutan). Lineage: Eukaryota; Metazoa; Chordata; Mammalia; Primates; Hominidae. The record is from RNAcentral.
GCCGGGCACGGUGGCUCAUGCCUGUAAUCCCAGCACUUUGGGAGGCUGAGGUGGGUGGAUCGCUUGAGGUCAGGAGUUCAAGACCAGUGUGGCCAACAUGGCAAAACCCCUAAAAAUACAAAAAUUAGCUGGGUGUAGUGGUGGGUGCCUGUAAUCCCAGCUACUCAGGAGGCUGAGGCAGGAGAAUCGCUUGAACCCAGGAGGCGGAGGUUGCAUGAGCUGAGAUUGUGUACUUCACUGUACUUCAGCCUGGGCAACAGAGUGAGACUCCAUCUCA